ACUAAAUCAAGAUUUUUAAAAUGUAAACCAUUUGAAUUAUUUUACAAUGUGAUCUGUCUUCCUUUAUUUACCUUUCAUUUUCUCUCUCUUCAAAUGGACUUCUAUUCAGAAUCAUUCUUGGGAACCAGAAAAGUUGGAACUCAUCCUUAUCUCAAGGGAAUUUGGCUGAUAACUGGAAAUCUAGAACCCUGUGUUUUAAACUUCUAGCUCACAUCACACCAAAGAUGUUUUGUUAUUUCAUAGCUUGAGAGAAAUGUGAAAUUCUAGGAAGAAAAGACUAGCACCAAAAUUGAUAGUUGGGAAAUAGAAAUGUAGGAAUGGGAGUGGAUUAGAUCAAUUCUCACCUCAUUUAAAAUGAGAAGAAACUACAUCCUAAUGCUUUUAUCAGUGAGAGUAAUUAAUAAAAUAGGUUGGAUCAAGGUCAAGAUAUCUCUGAAUCUACAGUAAGCUUUAGACUACAUUCACCAAGUCCAUGAUCAAUUUAGAAGUCCUUGAAAGCUAUUGAAUGAAAGAGUGGACUAUUAUACAGGAAAACAUAUACAUUGACUGAGGAAACCUGUUCACAUACAGUGGGACAUCUAUAAAAUAGCAAGCAGAUUUGGAACCUGGGCAUUCAAGUAUUUGGCAAUUCAGUGGUGGAAGCCAAAUCUUUAGCCAAACUUCUGAAAAAGAAUUACUUUGAAGACAGGAGAGCACUUUGGCUUCUUCCUCCUUUUGAUCAGAGGAGGACCUUGUGAGGGCCAGAAGAUUUUGGACUUCCCAUUAGAUCCCUCUUCCUAGCAUUAUGCUCAGAAACUGUGCUAGGCCCCUGAAUAUUGUGAGCACUAUAAGAAAGCUGUGUUACUGUGUUACUCCUUUGCAACAUGUUCUCUUUAAAUUGGAGCCCAAUUUCCUUUUGACUGCAUGUAUACUAGUAGGAGAAGGUGUCACAAACUUUUUGGGAGAUAUUUAUACCUCAAUAGUGCAGUGUAAUGGGAUGUAGAGUGUGUUCAGGGAAGACUACUAUCUCUAGCAUGAAGGCCGCUUUCUAUCUUUGAUGUCCACCUCUCAUCUGUGGCUUCAAAACUUAUGGACUUGAGUACUGGUCACACUCCAAUAAAUCAUUUCUUUAGAUGGAAUAAACCAGGUUAAGAGUAAUCAAAAA
This is a long non-coding RNA of Antechinus flavipes (yellow-footed antechinus), 1144 nucleotides long. RefSeq lists it as uncharacterized. Lineage: Eukaryota; Metazoa; Chordata; Mammalia; Dasyuromorphia; Dasyuridae. The transcript is spliced from 2 exons. The record is from RefSeq and is a predicted model, not a curated record.